UACUGAUGCCUAAGAUUUUUAGCUUUUUAUGUUUUUUACAUAUUUGUAGCUUUGUAGAUUACUAAGCAUGGCUGUAGCUUCUACUAGUUCUCCUUUCUUUACUACAUUUAGGAAUAAUAAGCUAACCUUAUAAACACAUUCCUAAAAAUGGUUUAGUCUUAUUCCAAGAAGAGAACCAGCUACAAUGACAUUCUGUUUUCCAACCAGAACCUGGAGCAGACAUAACAGAAGUGGGGCAAAAGAAACCUCUAGACUGCUUCCAGUGGGUCAGUGUGGGGUCUGUAGCUCAGACCCAGGAAGCCCUGACCGGUCCGGAGAGAUGGUCCUGUAAGGAACCGUCUCCCAGGGCCCGUGCAGCUUUCCCUCGGCCACUGGAGUGCCUUUGCAGAGAGGUGCCUGUUUCAGCAAGCUAACAGCUUUUGAGUGAUUUUCAGCUAGUGAUUUCAGCUCUUGCUCUGUGAGGCAAUCUCCAGGCCAGACCAGGAAAGAGAGACGAGAGGCCCGUGUGGCAUUCCUGCAUAGGUGGCUUUAUUGUCCUGCACCCGCGAAGGGUGACCAGUGAGAGGCUCGCUCUCCCGACUGAGCUAGCCAGGCUUCUUUUAUGGGGAUACAGAGGUGGGUGUGAGAGGGUAAAAGCCAAUGGGUUACAAAGGAUCUACAUAGGGUCUCCCAGAGGAUCGUGGUUCUGUGUCGUCUCUCGCCAUAACCGAAAGUGCUGCCUUUUCCAAGGGGAUUCUGCUGGGAGGUUGUACAAUCUCUUUAUCAGCAGGCCUCCCUCCAGGGCAGGGGCUGGGCAUACCCCACAGCUCAGGACCCCAGGAAUUAUUACCUAACCAACUAACCUUUUAAUUGGACAGUAUAUGAUAAGUAUACUAACUGAUUAACCUUAAAAAAAUUACAAUUACUGUACCAUGUGUGAUUUUUGUUGUGUACCUGAAGGCUUUCAACUAAAGGCUUGCUUUUAUAUUCACUCCAGUUGGAAAGAUCUAUGCUGUUUUCCAGGCAUCAAUACUGAAGAGGAGAGAGCAGCUGGAGGAGCAAACAUCAUGCUACAAACACACCAGGUACCACAGACUCGUCCCUUGAAAGGCCCUGUGGUUGCUCAUUCCCGUGGGCUCUGCUCCACAGGCAGGGAGGAGCAGGAUCCAGGCUGUGCUGCCUCCCCACAGUCAAGGACGUGCUGUACCAGCAUCCCUCAUCACAGCGUUGCCUGGGCAACAUCUCUCCUGCCUCUGCACGGAGCUCUGGCUGUGUCACUCCAAGGAAAUACUUUCUCCAAACAAAACUGCAGUGGGUUUAGUCUGUGCAAGAUGGAGAACCUGGCUAGAGCCUUGCAGCCGAUUCCAGCUUAGGGUUUGCUAAGGUAGAGCUGCCAUCAACAUCAGCUUUGCAGGCAGAUUAAUUCUGCUUGUUCAGCUGUGGUGGUUCCAGCACCAGCUCCUCCUGUGACUACUCUCAGAGCUCACACACAACCUUGAGAGCUGCUCCAGCCUGGCCACGGGGUCCCCAGCACCUCACCUUUGCAGCUUUGCCAUGGCACCUGCAACAACCUCGGUGCCAGCAGGUUGCUGAAGGGUGGCUCAUGACCCAAAAUCUCUGAAGUGCCUUUUUGCCCCCCUCAAAGAAAUUGUAUUUACUGGACAAGAACAAUGACCAGGCUUGGGAUGAGUUCAUCUGCAAGGUUCUGGGACGUGAUUAAGAAAAACUCUAUGCAUCCUCCAUUCUUACAUUGCUGCAGAGCAUGGAAGUAACUGGUGCAGAUGUGAGGCAGUCCCUGACUCCUCUCACACAAGAAAUAACCCCAUGGUGGGAGCUCUGGACAAGCAGAUGUUUGUCCCUCCCCUCGUGGACAUCUGCAGCUUCCUGAAAUGCACCCUGCCUCACACCACUGCCUCUUCUCUGCCACAGGGUGCUCAGUAAACCAGAAACCCCUUUCGGGGCAGCUGUCUUGUCCUUUGCCAAUGUUCUCUUUUUCCUUGGCUUGGGGACAAGUGAGCAGCAAGGCGCACAGGCAGCGUCCUUGGUCUGCAGAGAGGAUUCCUCUUAAUGGAAACGCAGUUGGUUUAUUCUGUAUUUAAUUAAUCUUCCCUGUAACUAACCAAGAGGAGUUACACAGAGAAAUGGGGAAGCGGGAAAGAAAUAAUUUCUGUGAAAAUGCACCUGGUGCAGAGCAAAGGCCAGGAAAUUGAUCCUCUCUUAGCCUGCCCGCUUUUUAAAAUAAUUCCUAAAAUGCAGCAGUACCUGUCCAUCUGGCCAGAACUGCCUGUGACCAUUUCCUCUUCCCCCAUUCGGAACAACAACAACAAAAAAAGUAAAAACCCCAACUACCACAGCAAAGCCUUUCCCUGCUCCAGCUCCCCAGGAGGCUGAGCUGCCCCAAGCUUCUUAUCUAAAUCUUUGCUUGAGCUCGAUUCUUUAGCUGGGAACUGAAGAAACCCCGAUGCCACCUCCCACGGGGUGUCAAUGGGGGCUGUGGCCAGGGCUCGCAUGAAUGAUUCAGGAGCAGCAAAGCGCUGGGUUGCCUUUCAGCUGAGGCUCUGAUCAAACACGGGAGUUGGGUUACCAGGUGUCUCAAGUGCCUUGGGGGAGAGAGGGGGAAAGCUGGAGAUCCACCGGGAUGAGCAGAAAAGUAAUAAAAUGAGAGUGGUGGUACCAAAUCAGUCAGUCAGUCCCCUCCUCGUGUUUCAUCUUCCUCGUCUAUAACUCCCUGAGCUCAGGGAGUUACUACACUGGCCCAGCAAACGUCAUCACCGUCUCCCUGCUUAAUUCCUGCAGGAUUCCAGACACAGCAGAGCGCUCUGUGUCCUGGGGUUUUUUUUGUUUUUUUUUUUUUGGUGUUCUCGAACUGAUCCUCUGAAGCCUCCCUGCGGCUGAGCAGGAGCAGUGGCACUGGGAGAAGUGGGGUAAGUGGGGCCACGAGGUUUGGCGGCAGCAGCAGCACCCGGGGAAGCAUCACCCGACAUGCGAGUCGAGGGCAGAAAGGGAAAAGGAUCGGCUCACGGGCAGCCCCCCCCCGCGCCCCGUGCAUCUCCCCAGCGCUGCUCACCCGCUGCCAGCUGCAUCCAGGCACAGACUUUGUAGACGGUGGCUGCGUUGCAGAAGAAGAAGAGGCUGAAGCAGAGGAUGGUGCCGAUGAUGAGGAAGGUUGAGAUGCCUACGAAGAACAUGGCAGUUUUGAAGGCACUGGAGGGGAUGGUGCCGAAGUCCAGGGGGCUGCCCUUGCAGAUGAGCUCACCGGUGAGCGCGUUGCCGAUGCAGUAGGAGAAGAGGCCGAAGUAGCCGGCCUGCGGCGUGUCGAUGCUGUCGCCGAUCCAGUAGGGCUGGAUGAAGGUCACCACCAUCAGGAUGGAGAAGCAGAGCGUGAAGAGGGCCCAGA
This is a long non-coding RNA of Corvus hawaiiensis (hawaiian crow), 3376 nucleotides long. RefSeq lists it as uncharacterized. The transcript has 2 exons. Lineage: Eukaryota; Metazoa; Chordata; Aves; Passeriformes; Corvidae. The record is from RefSeq and is a predicted model, not a curated record.